Molecule: long non-coding RNA, 1327 nt
Filed under: Anolis carolinensis (green anole)
Lineage: Eukaryota; Metazoa; Chordata; Lepidosauria; Squamata; Anolidae
Description: lncRNA (ENSACAG00000033472.2)
Source: RNAcentral
AUGGCUUCGGCAUCUUACCGCACCCAAACAUUUGCGAGGGCCAGCAUUGUUGGCACAAAACACAGAUGGGAAGGGCAAAGCAGAUGCUUCAGUCUGGACAAAAGAUGUUUUCCUUAUUUUAUUCUCAAAGAAGUGCUUGCAGAAAGCUGUCUGGGUGGUAUAGUACAAAAAGCGAAAAAGCAAGGUAAGCAAAGUGCAGAUGGGGGCUGUACACUUGGGCAUUUCUGUAAUCGGGCUCAGUGCUGCUUUUCCUGGCUCAGUGCUUGGGGAGCCUGCACAGCCCUGAUGGGGGCUUCUUGCUAGCAUACUAACCCAGGCAUUCAGGAAGUGGCCAUUUUCUAGGCUCUCAGGACACUCAUCAUUUUUAAAAUUAAAAAAUCAGUCUCUUUUGCACAAGGCUUUUCUGUCUUCUUGUUUUCAAUCAGGACUAGAUGGAAAGGUUGUGCUCCCAAAGGCUACAGGGAAAACAGAUGCUGUCUCUAAGCAGACAGACCAGGUAGAUUGUAACAAGACCACCCAAAAGAAACCACUGCAGAAUCAGAAGGACCAACUUAUCUAGAGAGUUUGGCCAUCCCAAGCCAAGAUGUGAGAUGGGUUUGCCCUACUUGUAUUUCUGGCUCCCCAUAUUUAAAGAAAAACACAUCCAACCAUUGCUUUUCAGUCACACCACCAAUUCGCUGGAUACAGCAAAUCUUUGCCUUGUCAGUAAAAUGUUAGGGUAGCUUUUCUUUUGUGGUGCAGCAGGUUGAGAGUGUUGGACUGCAACUCUGGGAAACCAAGCUUCAAACCCACCCCCUCUCAGCCACAGAAAUGCACUAGUGUCCUUGGGCAAGUCAUGCUCGCUCAGCCCUAGAAAGAGACAAACAGAGCCGGCCCUAGGUAUUUUUCAAGUGUAGGCGAACAGAAUUUUGGCGCCCCCCCAAACCAAUCACUGAAAAAUAAAAGCGUUGGAUAAGCGAAAAUGUUGGAUAAUAAGGAAGUAUAAAGGAAAAGCCUAUAAAACAUCAAAUUACAUUAUGAUUUUAAAAUUUAAGCACCAAAACAUCAUGUUUUACAACAAAUCAAUAGAAAAAGCAGUUCAAUACAUGGUAAUGUUAUGUAGGAAUUACUAUAUUUGCAAAUUUAGCACUAAACAUUGAACAGGGAUAUAGGGCAGUGUGGACUUAGAUAACCCAGAUAGCCCUCAGUAUUAAAAAAAACCCUCUAAAAUCAGGACAAUAAAUAAAGAACAACACUCUGAAAACAGAAGAAAUCCAGACAGUAAACAAUCAGGGACAGCUAACUCCUCCCAAAAAAAGAUUCUCCCAGGCAAGAAGAAGCCAGGCCU